AACUCGGCAAAAUGACCCCGUAACUUAGGGAUAAGGGGUGCCACCAUCCGGUGGCCGCAGAGAAUAGGCCCAAGCGACUGUUUACCAAAAACAUAGGCUUCUGCUAAGUCGCAAGACGAUGUAUAGGGGCUGACGCCUGCCCGGUGCUGGAAGGUUAAGGGGAUCUGUUAGAGCAAUCGAAGCAGUGAACUUAAGCCCCAGUAAACGGCGGCCGUAACUAUAACG
This 225-nucleotide ribosomal RNA is filed under the name Clostridioides difficile. RNAcentral's name for it is "partial 23S ribosomal RNA". It matches the Rfam family "Bacterial large subunit ribosomal RNA", at positions 1711 to 1947 of the family's 2925-position model. Lineage: Bacteria; Bacillati; Bacillota; Clostridia; Peptostreptococcales; Peptostreptococcaceae. The record is from RNAcentral.